This 1055-nucleotide long non-coding RNA is filed under the name Gadus morhua (Atlantic cod). RNAcentral describes it as "lncRNA (ENSGMOG00000031223.1)". Lineage: Eukaryota; Metazoa; Chordata; Actinopteri; Gadiformes; Gadidae. The record is from RNAcentral.
UCACAGGACCCUGGAACCACUAGCCUCACAGGACGCUGGACUCAUUGGCCAACAGUCACUAGCCCUCGACCCACUAGCCCUCACAGGACCCUGGAACCACUGGCCAACAUGAGUCUCCUCCGCUCCACCCCACGCCCUUACCAGCAGCCGCCACCAGGGGGCAGUGAGGGUCCAACCCAGAGCCAACGUCUUUGGGGAAAUCUCACGGGAACUGGACAUGCCAAUAAUGCCGGAGGCACAGUAAACAGUUUUGCAGUUAUUAUUAUUGCAAAGGGAUAUCGUUUGUAUUAUUGUUUGUUUGGUUUUCCUUGUCUUUUUCGUUGUUGAUUAAUCUUUGGUUGUAACCUCAUUCUAUUGAGUCUCUUUGCUUUUUGGAGAGUGAAUCAAAUAUUUGAAUAUUUGAUAAUUAAUUUAACUCAAAUAUUGUCGACCGGACGUCUUGAGCAUCCACACAAAAAAAGUGGUAAGGUGUUUUUUUCACUGAACUAAAUUUAAUGCUGUAUUUAACUCUGUAUCAAACAGUUUGCUUGUAUAUCCUGAAUAACAUUUAUACAUAUAUGAUACGUGAACCCCAGUUUCCUCAUGAGUGGCUAUUAUGUACAGACGACUUAUUGAAGACAGUUCUGGAAAGGAUUGAAUCUUACUCUAAUGCGCGAACACGCACACACACAUACACACACACACACACACACACACACACACACACACACACACACACACACACACACACACACACACACACACACACACACACACACACUGUCUCUCAAACACAGACACACACACUGUCUCACACACACAUUCUACAACACACACACACAUACUGUCUCAAACACGCAUACUCUCUCUCACACACACGCACAUUCUCACACAAACAAACACACAUUCUCUCACACAUAAACACACACUGUCUAACACACACACACAUUCUCUCACAGACACACACACACAAGUACACACAAACAGAAGCACCCCCCCCCCCCCCCCCCCGCACAAACACACACACACAUACACACACUAUUAUACUCCUUUUACAUGUAUGUAUGUAUGUAUGA